GACAUUUGGUAGAGACUGUUGAGGCCACCUGGGCCCAGCAGACCCCAGAGAAAGGCCACAUUCGCUGGUGCUGGAAAAAGGUCGUUAAGAGUGAAGCCUGGUGCCAGAUGUGU
This is a ribosomal RNA of Panthera pardus (leopard), 113 nucleotides long. Lineage: Eukaryota; Metazoa; Chordata; Mammalia; Carnivora; Felidae. The record is from Ensembl.